CUCUGAUCCUAUACCAAGUGUCUGGUACACAGCAAGGACUCUAUAAAUACCAGUUUCCUUCUUCCCCUUGUAGAGCCAGCAAAGACUCCUUCCAGAGGAAGGAAUAAGUGAGGAAGUUGGGUUAGAAGCUCUCAAGCUGCCCCCGCCCCCCACCUGGCCAGCAUUACAAGCCUAAAGCUCUAUAGAAGUAUGGUUGAAGCUCCAGCCCACGUACAAUGAAAUGCAUGUGGCCCAUACCGUGGUAUCGCCAGGAGUCCUUUGGAGUGGAAUCAGAAAACCACUGUGAAAACAGGGGUGGAAAGAGAGGAACUGUGCACGAGGGUGCUUGGCUGAUGUCUGAAGUGCACGCGCACCCACUCUCCCAGGCGAGGCACAAAAGCAACCGCCUCCAGGCAAGCUGACUAGACCAUCAUGGCGCAUUGCUGACAUUGGAAUUACAUUAAAUUAUCACCACACGAGUGCCUUCCGCUGUUGUUUGUGUUCCAAAAUGUCCCAAUGAAUUCUAAAAGCAGCGCCAUGUUCCCUUAGAAGAAGAAAAACCUAAUGUUCUGUCCUUUAUCGGAACCCACUCAGGAAAACGAGCUCUCUGAAUGGGAGCUCUCCCUCCUUCUCUCCAGGGGACACAAGGAAACAGGGAGAAGUGAUUAAAGCUUUGGAUUAGUUCACAGGAAUGUUUCUUUUCUAUUGUUGCUUUAUCUUUACUCAAGCAGAAGUUGGCCUGAUAGAUCUCAGAUGAGAACCAAAGGGGAAGAUGUGGGGUGUGCACUGGGGUGCAGGGCAGGGGAAAUUUAAUGGUUGAUAUUUCCUGAGUGGCUCUCCAGGUGGUGAGACCGUGUUACCCUCCACUUUGUCACCUUGGUUCAUGGACAAAUGGUAUCUUUUGCUAACACAGGCAUGUGGUAACCCACAGAUUCCUAAGCUGUAUAUUACCACUGACCUUCCUUCCUCCUUCCUCCCUUCCUUCCUGAUCCUCUUCCAUCCACUUCUUUAUUCUGUAAAC
Vulpes vulpes (red fox) is the source of this 1000-nucleotide long non-coding RNA. The record is from Ensembl. NCBI's taxonomy places the organism in Eukaryota, Metazoa, Chordata, Mammalia, Carnivora, Canidae.